CUGUAUGAAUGGCAUAACGAGGGUUUAACUGUCUCCCUCCCCCAGUCAAUGAAAUUGAUCUGCCCGUGCAGAAGCGGACAUAAACACAUAAGACGAGAAGACCCUAUGGAGCUUUAGACAAAAGAUCAAACAUGUAAAGAAACCAAACCAACCAAAAGGAACACAAAGGCCACAAAACCCAACGUAAAAUGAUCAAAAUGUCUUCGGUUGGGGCGACCAUGGGGGAAAGAAAAGCCCCCACGAGGAACUAAGGGCAAUCCAUUAAGCCAAGAGAUACACCUCUAAGCAACAGAAAAUCUGACCAAAAAUGACCCAGGACACUAAUCCUGAUCAACGAACCAAGUUACCCUAGGGAUAACAGCGCAAUCCUUUCCCAGAGUCCAUAUCGACGAAAGGGUUUACGACCUCGAUGUUGGAUCAGGACAUCCUAAUGGUGCAGCCGCUAUUAAGGGUUCGUUUGUUCAACGAUUAACAGUCCUACGUGAUCUA
RNAcentral lists this ribosomal RNA (489 nucleotides) under Anguilla marmorata (giant mottled eel). RNAcentral describes it as "partial 16S ribosomal RNA". It matches the Rfam family "Bacterial large subunit ribosomal RNA", at positions 1988 to 2607 of the family's 2925-position model. The record is from RNAcentral. Lineage: Eukaryota; Metazoa; Chordata; Actinopteri; Anguilliformes; Anguillidae.